GUUGUUUUCUUAGUACAUAUAGGAGUUAAAAGUUCUGCUAAUAUAUUAAUAAGUGAAAAAAGAGAUUUGAUACUCUAAAAUUCUCACUUUUUAAACCUAUCAAUCAGUUUCAAGUAAUCAUUUAGCUUGUGAAGUUUCUGUUUACCAAAAGCUAUGAUUCUCAUUUUCUUCCACUCGUCCGUUUAAAAAUAAACUGAGAUCAUACCCAAGUCAGAGAUUAUUAGUGUAAAAAUUCCAAAGAAACAAUAUAAAUGCGGCUACAAAAAUGUUUAACAAUUAUAUGAGUAUGUUUUCUAGAGUUUACUGAAAAUGAGAGCAAUUCGAAUACUAUGCCUUUACAAUUGGUUUUCUAGCAAUGAAUUUGAAAAG
RNAcentral lists this long non-coding RNA (369 nucleotides) under Bos taurus (domestic cattle). Its description in RNAcentral is "long non-coding RNA NONBTAT010664". The record is from RNAcentral. Lineage: Eukaryota; Metazoa; Chordata; Mammalia; Artiodactyla; Bovidae.